CGUGUCCUGUAGUGGGGGAUAGCCCGGCGAAAGCCGGAUUAAUACCGCAUACGAUCUACGGAUGAAAGCGGGGGAUCGCAAGACCUCGCGCUAUAGGGGCGGCCGAUGGCGGAUUAGCUAGUUGGUGGGGUAAAGGCCCACCAAGGCGACGAUCCGUAGCUGGUCUGAGAGGACGACCAGCCACACUGGGACUGAGACACGGCCCAGACUCCUACGGGAGGCAGCAGUGGGGAAUUUUGGACAAUGGGCGCAAGCCUGAUCCAGCAAUGCCGCGUGUGUGAAGAAGGCCUUCGGGUUGUAAAGCACUUUUGUCCGGAAAGAAAUCCUCUGGGUUAAUACCCCGGGGGGAUGACGGUACCGGAAGAAUAAGCACCGGCUAACUACGUGCCAGCAGCCGCGGUAAUACGUAGGGUGCGAGCGUUAAUCGGAAUUACUGGGCGUUAAGCGUGCGCAGGCGGUGAU
RNAcentral lists this ribosomal RNA (462 nucleotides) under Burkholderia sp. Gc171. Its description in RNAcentral is "bacterial SSU rRNA". It matches the Rfam family "Bacterial small subunit ribosomal RNA", at positions 125 to 582 of the family's 1533-position model. The record is from RNAcentral. Lineage: Bacteria; Pseudomonadati; Pseudomonadota; Betaproteobacteria; Burkholderiales; Burkholderiaceae.